Molecule: transfer RNA, 74 nt
Filed under: Mariniphaga sp.
Lineage: Bacteria; Pseudomonadati; Bacteroidota; Bacteroidia; Marinilabiliales; Prolixibacteraceae
Also listed under: 2 other names
Description: tRNA-Ile
Rfam family: tRNA
About the family: Transfer RNA (tRNA) molecules are approximately 80 nucleotides in length.
Source: RNAcentral
GGGCCUAUAGCUCAGUUGGUUAGAGCAUCUGACUCAUAAUCAGGGGGUCCCAGGAUCAUGCCCUGGUGGGCCCA